UACAGAGGGGGCAAGCGUUGUUCGGAAUUACUGGGCGUAAAGCGUGCGCAGGCGGUUUUGUAAGUCUGUCGUGAAAUCCCCGGGCUCAACCUGGGAAUUGCGAUGGAGACUGCAAGGCUAGAAUCUGGCAGAGGGGGGUAGAAUUCCUGGUGUAGCGGUGGAAUGCGUAGAGAUCCGGAAGAACACCGGUGGCGAAGGCGGCCUGCUGGGCAGUUGCUGACACUGAGGCGCGACAGCGUGGGGAGCAAACAGG
RNAcentral lists this ribosomal RNA (253 nucleotides) under uncultured bacterium. RNAcentral's name for it is "partial 16S ribosomal RNA". It matches the Rfam family "Bacterial small subunit ribosomal RNA", at positions 524 to 776 of the family's 1533-position model. The record is from RNAcentral.